UAGCUUACACCACCAGAACCCUGGAGGGUGCACUCUGAGGUUUUGGCAGCCUGGCAGAUAGUUCUUAGCAUGCCUGCCAUUACUGGCUAAAUGCUAUUUAUUAUGACAAGAUCAAGCAAACAUACUCACAAAGACAGAAGAAAAAAAGGAGAUAAUAUGAGAACCAGAAUCUGGUUCUAUUCUCUGGAUGGAAGAAGGAAGCAUUCUCCAAUCUGAUGGGAAGAACAAAGUGUUUACCAUCAUGAUCAGUUGCCCAAAGGGGCCAGUCAUUAUCGAUAAUCUAGAGAAGCUCUUAGGUAACAGUUGUCAACAUUAAAGAAUAUGAAACUUCAGCUCUGUGGCAUGUGACCAGCAGAAUGAUGUGGAAUCCACUUCAGCGCAUCUGGAACCCAGGAGGUGAUGCAUCAAGGGGCCACAUUCUCGAGUCACGUGGACGAGUCUAGGCAGCCUUGGGAGCUCUUCCACCAUCCGGGGAAAUGUAGGACAACAGGUAGAAGGCUUGCCCUCCUUAAGGGGCAGAAGGAGGCCUGUGGAGAGCGGUCACGGGGAGGAAGAGCUCAGUAGUGGAGGAGCAGAUGGAAGGGAAUCGCCUGUGGCUGAAGUAUUAGCGAGAAAAGACAAUCCUAGGAGAGAGCCAGCGAAUGGCCCGCCAGGCUUGCUGACAGCGAAAGCCACCAGGAAGCAUCAGUCCCAUUUCUGGAAACCUGGUGAAUCACCAAUGAUGAAAUACAACAGGUAGAGAGGAAAGAUCUUUAAAAGCACGAAGUAUUUUCUCAGAAAACACCUUAGUACUAUACAGAAAUGGGUAAAAAAUAUAAUUGUUCUUUGAUUCAGUAUGUAAUGUGUACUUAAAGUACACAAUGGAAUGGUUUUGAACUAAUGUUUUCUACUUCUAGAUCCAGUUAAACAAUGGGAAUUGGAUAUGCUGACCUCUUUGGUUGACAAGUCAGAGAAACAUGGUUUUUAUCUUCCCCAAAUUUUUGAAAUAUAGAAAAAGCAUAUGUUUUAAAAAUGUAUUUAUAAAUGUUUGUAAAGAAUCCAGAGACCUAUCAUUCCUUUCAACAGUUGGGUAUACUUUACAAAUAAAAUUCUUAAAGCAUGUAGGUAUGUUUAAAAUUAAUGGAAAGGAACAAACAGAAACAGACUAUAAACUCUUGUGGCAGUUUUAAACCUAGUUACCCCAAAUUUCCAAACUUAUAUUUCUUUUUAUAUCCUGAUAUCAACUACAGAAAGGGUUCUAACUAGUCUGACUCAACAAAGGAAAUGAAUGAAUAUUAUAACCUGUGUGUUUCUCAGAUAUCUAGAUUUGAUCUUUAUUAUAUGUUUUAAUAUUCCUGAGAAUUGAUUUUUUUGGGCCACAUUUAGUUGACCCCACUUAAAAUUUGUCCUUAUGUCAGCAUUUGUCAAAACAUAUAAACCUGGUUAUUAUUUUGGUUUCAGCAGGAAAACCCUGCUUUAAUGCUCAAACUCUAUAAGUUCUGCUUUUCAUACAUCUCCUAGACUUCCACAUUAUUCCUUUUAAAUAUCAUCAUGAUUAUAAUUAAAUGCUCUGUUUGCAUUCUCUGAGAUAUAAUCUCUAAGAAGGCAAGGACUGGGUUAUCUGGUUCACUGCUCUAUCUAUUAUAUUGUCUCAACAAAUAAAUAUUGCCACUUAAUAAACAGAUGUUGAAUGAAUGAUGGAUGAACAGUCACUUCCCUUUCUCAUGUUAUAUUACUAAGUUACUAAGGAAGAAAUCAUGGAAUCUUAUUUAUAAGGAAUAAGGACAAGUCUUAGUAGUCCACAGACAUUCUAAGAUUACUUAGGACCAAUAAAGUAAGAGCCUAUGCACAUUUUCAUUUUAUCUGUUAUAUUCUAUAUUCUGUCUUUAAAUACAGAUUCAAUGGAACUUAAUGUUUAUGCCGAAUUCAUGCCUAAAAUUCCUCACCAUCUAUCAAGGUUUUUUAAAAAUCUUAUAUCUGACAAAUACUUUUUCUUUCACUCUGCUGUAGGUAGACAUUUCUCUCAGAACAUACUGCUCUCAGUACCACUAAUGUAAAAGCAAAUGACAUAUACAACACCAAUUAAAUAUUUAUGCAAUGUAGCACUGAAAUGGUAAAUAUUGUAUUACGCUUUCCACUUGUCAUUAGUCAGGAGAUGUUGCUACAUUCUGCAGUAAUGAUAGCCUAAAACAGAGAAAACAGCAUUGCAUUUCAAGGACAAGAUACUUGUCUGGCACAAACUGAAGUUCAGCUGACUUUAAAGGUAUUUCUUAUUGUUGCUGCCCUUGAAUGUUUUUCAAGUCAGAAAGAUUUUCGUAUUUGAAUGGUAACAGUCUGUUUAACUAUAAUAUUUCUCAUAUAUUAUUUACUUUAGCUGCCCUCACAUCAAGCUAAGAGUAAAAUGAAUUAUUUCUGGAGAGGUGAGAAGAACAUACUUCCUAUACCUUUGUUGAAUUUCUUG
This is a long non-coding RNA of Manis javanica (Malayan pangolin), 2440 nucleotides long. RefSeq lists it as uncharacterized. The record is from RefSeq and is a predicted model, not a curated record. Lineage: Eukaryota; Metazoa; Chordata; Mammalia; Pholidota; Manidae.